RNAcentral lists this long non-coding RNA (874 nucleotides) under Anas platyrhynchos platyrhynchos (common mallard). RNAcentral describes it as "lncRNA (ENSAPLG00000022583.1)". Lineage: Eukaryota; Metazoa; Chordata; Aves; Anseriformes; Anatidae. The record is from RNAcentral.
AGAUUUGAGCCCAAAAAAUGGCGAGGAGAGGAGGUUGUAGAGGCUGAGGGUGCCUGUGCCGAGGCUGGGCAGGAGGAGAAAAAGGCGAAAAUAGAGGAAAUAGAAGAAAAUAGAGAAAAUAGAAGAAAAUAGAGAAAAUAGAAGAGAGGAAAUAGAAGAAAAAGAGAGGAAAUAGAAGAAAAAGAGAGGAAGUAGAAGACGGCGGAGGCAGAGUUAAAAAACGGGAGGCGAGCCGGAGCGUGGUGAAGCUGACCGAAAAUCGGCGCAAAUUGGCGGAAUCGGCCCCAAAACGGAGCAGCGGAGACGCCGGGGCGCGGUACCGGUGUCGCCGCGCCGCAGAGUGCAGCCACGGCGCCCCAGCCGCAGUAAAGAGGAGCGGGCGCCCCGACCCCGCCGCCUUUUUGGGGGAAAAAAGGCCAAAAAUGGGUCUGCUGGGCGCUGGUUCCCGGCUUCUCCGCACAGCUCAGUGAAAACCGCAGGAAAAUGCCCCAAAAACGAGGACGCCCGACCCGAAAAAGGCAGAGCCCGGCAGCAAAACCUCCCAAAAACGUGUAGGAAAGGGAGAAAAAAAAAUAGGUAUUUCUGGUGGUUUGAACCCAAAAAAAAACGGGGGCGUGGAGCAUCCAGGUGGCGGUGGUGGUUUUUCGCCCAGGGAGGGUGUAAUUUUACCAAUUUAGCCCCAAUUUUGCUUGGUUUUUCCCCUCUGGAUUCACCAAGGAAAAAAAAAAGCAAAAAUAUAAAAAAAGGCCCAAAGUGCCUCAAAAUGAGCAGCUGGCGCCAGGCCCUUCCGGCAGCGGCGCUCGGCCGGAUCCCUUCAGUGGGAUUUUGAGUGGAAAACGUGGCUUUUUGGUAAACUCAGGGCUCGAGCCCUUCG